Molecule: ribosomal RNA, 758 nt
Filed under: Glomeromycotina sp. OTU31 DJMC-2012
Lineage: Eukaryota; Fungi; Glomeromycota
Description: eukaryotic LSU rRNA
Rfam family: Eukaryotic large subunit ribosomal RNA
Source: RNAcentral
AAGCGGAGGAAAAGAAACUAACAAGGAUUCCCCUAGUAACGGCGAGUGAAGAGGGAAGAGCUCAAAUUUUAAAUCUGCCUUGUUCCAAGGUCGAGUUGUAAUUUGAAGAAGCGUUUUCUUGGGCUCGCGGCCGGUAGAAGUUCUUUGGAACAGGACAUCAUAGAKGGUGACAAUCCCGUCCGUGACCGGUCGUGCGUUCAUYUACGAUACNCUUUCAAAGAGUMGAGUUGUUUGGGAUUGCAGCUCCNAACGGGUGGUAAACAUCACCUAAGGCUAAAUAUUGGCGAGAGACCGAUAGCGAACAAGUACCGUGAGGGAAAGAUGAAAAGAACUUUGAAAAGAGAGUUAAACAGUACGUGAAAUUGUUGAAAGGGAAACGAUUGAAGUCAGUCGUGCUGGCGCGAAAUCAACCCUCUCGUCUUGAGAUCACAUGGCGCGACGAGCCUCAAAACCGUCACGAAGCGUGAACUCUUGACGAAAAGGUGCACUUUCGUGUCCGCUGGUUAACAUCAAUUUCGAACGUCAUAAAAAGGCUGGAGGGAUGUGGCUCCUUCGGGAGUGUUAUAACCUUUAGCGGAAUGUGGCGUUCGGGAUUGAGGAUUGCAACGAAUACCUUCAGGGCUGUUCCACCUGGCUUCUCAUUGGUAUCCUGGUGACGACAGCUUGCUGACGUCGUUAGGAUCAGCUUCUGAACAGGCUAGAGUGUGAGCAAAUUCGUUAAGGAUGUUAACGUAAUGGCUUUAAACGACCCGUCUUGA